RNAcentral lists this long non-coding RNA (2362 nucleotides) under Phasianus colchicus (ring-necked pheasant). Its description in RNAcentral is "lncRNA (ENSPCLG00000006877.1)". Lineage: Eukaryota; Metazoa; Chordata; Aves; Galliformes; Phasianidae. The record is from RNAcentral.
CCACGCUUCCCUGGUGCUGUGUGGGAAAAGCAAAUUGAAAGAAUCUGGAACGAUGAAGUCACCAAGCCACCGCGGAGGAUGGAGCAGAGGCAGCGUUUCCUCGUCCCGUAACCCGCGUGCACUCUGUGCUUUGAUGGCUCCGGCUCCCAGCGCCUCACAGCCAGCCUCACCAGUGUGGUCUGGCUGCUCUGCAGGGCUGGAUGCAGAGGAUUCCAACCUUGCUGGCUGGGAUGGACUGGUGAUGCUGCUUUUUGGACUGCGCGCUCUUUGGAGGAGAGGCGUCCUAUUUGUUUCGCGUCCGCGCUUUUCUGACAAUGACAGAUGAGAUUAUGGAGCGUGGCCGAUUUUCAAGAUUCCUUCUAACUGGUGAGCUGAGGAUUCCUGUUUAGAAACGCUAUGCAGCAAAAGAAACCCACAACAACAACUCAACCAUUUGCAGUCUUAAGUAUUGCAAACUCUGAUGAGGCGGUGUGAGGUUGUGCACCUCCAGCUUGGAUUCUGCUGCCCCGUGUUGCUUUACAAGAAGGUGCUGUUUAUCACAGCCUUGCUUCAUUUGAAUAACACAGGGUCUUUGAGAGCAAGCUAUUUCCUUCUUUAAUAUACACAUCGAAACUGCAAAAUUACUCCGCAGCUCAAACUUGUGGACUCCAAAACCCAUCCAGCAGAGAAUGAAAAUUUUCCAGAUGAGGAAUAGUGGCUGCUUGUUUUCUCCCCUCCCUUGGAUGGGUUUGUGUCUGGGCAUGAUUUCAGCCCUUCCUUCCUAUUCAGCGGCCCAAAUAUUGAAGUGGGUGUGAAACCUGCAAGCGAGGAAAGGAAGAGGGGAGCAGCGGGUGUGUGCUGCUGCUGCUCGUGUGACACUGCGUGGUAUGGGCCCAGCUGAGCUGCCCUUGGGAUGAGCUCCUGGGGGCAGCAGCAGAACGAGGAGAGGAGGAGAAGAGCAUUUUCACAGGCACCCAGGUGGCUGAAGUCAGACAAACUGCCCUCCUCCCAGUUGUUGCAGCCAGCAGAACUGGAUGUCAUCAUGGCAGUGGGCAAGCAAAAAAAAAUCCCAGAUAUUAAUGAAUGCCAGAUUUGCCAAAUGAAUAAGCAGGAUUUCUGUUCCUUGGUGAGAAGAGGAAACAACCGUGGUCUUUCUCAGACCAAACCCACCAUUUUUACAAUGGGGGGGAGGGGAAAAAUCCUCACCAUGUGUAAUGCUCAGCUCUUGGGAAACAACGGGAAAAAAAAACUGAGAUCUGAGCCACUGGGUUUUUCUCAUUUUUAUGUUCUUCUGCUGGUCCUGAGUUUGAUUGCAUGGUUUCAUGUUUGUUGUUGGGUGGGUGGCUGUUCCAUACCUGAGCUGUGCCCCAGAGCCACGUGCUGCAGGAUGGCAGUUUUGCAUCGCAUGAGUUCUGCAAACUCUUUAGAACAAGAGUCAAGGUGUGUGCUAUGCUAGCAGGAUGCGCCCAGCAAUGUUAUAUCACAGGCCACCUGGAGUCAGGGCAGAUGUAUUGGUGGUAUUUGCUGUCUUACAGCAAAUAAGGGUUGGAAAGGACCUCAAGGAUCAUGAAGCUCCAACCCCCCUGCCACAUGAGGGCCACCAACCUCCACAUUUAAUACAAGCUCAGGCUGCCCAGGGCCCCAUCCAACCUGGCCUUGAACACCUCAGGGAUGGACGGGGCAUCCACAGCCUCUCUGGGCAGCUGUUCCAGCACCUCACUGCUCUCACAGCAAAGAAUUUCCCCCUGACGUCCAACCUAAAUCUUUCCUCCUUCAACUUAAAAACCAUUUCCCCUUGUCCUGUCUUAAUGCUGUGUGUUCUGAUUUCCACUUAUUUAAUGUAAUUUCAUGAUGCCCUGAUCCUACAGCAUAUUGCUAGCCCUAUGGAAGGUUGUUAAUGCAAGCAUUUCCCUGGAGGUGUUCAAAGCCAGGUUGGAUGGGGCCCUGGGCUCUAGUGUCUAAUCUCAUGGGUGACAGUCCUGCUCAUGUCACAGGGGUUGGAACUAGAUGAUCUUUGAGGUCCCUUCCAACCCAAGCUGUUCUAUGAUUCAGCCACUGUAAGUCAUGGUUUUAAGCUGGCCUAGAGGAAGCAUGUAGUGCUCAUUUUCCCUCUGUGCUUCUGGUCAGAGCUGCUGAAGGCUGCGUGGCUGAAGUUGUGUGACUCCCUGGGAGAGGGGUUGGUCAAGCAGUGCCUUAUGUCUUUUUCUCUUGCUUUGAGGGCAGCUCAAGGGAACUGUGCUGCUGUGUAUAUGACACAACAUAUGGGUCGAGGGGCCCAUUGUAACGUUUAGCAUCAGGGCUAGGCAGUUAUCAAGUUGGUGGUGUUGACCUGUGCCCUGGAAGGUGGAAAUAAAUGCCUGGUCUUUCAUUUAGACUAUUGCCA